CCCUUUCCCCACCCCUCCAUUUCUCGCCAUGGCCCCUGCACUGCUCCUGGUCCCUGCUGCCCUCGCCUCUUUCAUCCUGGCCUUUGGCACCGGAGUGGAGUUCGUGCGCUUUACCUCCCUUCGGCCACUUCUUGGAGGGAUCCCGGAGUCUGGUGGUCCGGAUGCCCGCCAGGGAUGGCUGGCUGCCCUGCAGGACCGCAGCAUCCUUGCCCCCCUGGCAUGGGAUCUGGGGCUCCUGCUUCUAUUUGUUGGGCAGCACAGCCUCAUGGCAGCUGAAAGAGUGAAGGCAUGGACAUCCCGGUACUUUGGGGUCCUUCAGAGGUCACUGUAUGUGGCCUGCACUGCCCUGGCCUUGCAGGUAUGAGGCCCUGGCCUUGCAGCUGGUGAUGCGGUACUGGGAGCCCAUACCCAAAGGCCCUGUGUUGUGGGAGGCUCGGGCUGAGCCAUGGGCCACCUGGGUGCCCCUCCUCUGCUUUGUGCUCCAUGUCAUCUCCUGGCUCCUCAUCUUUAGCAUCCUUCUCGUCUUUGACUAUGCUGAGCUCAUGGGCCUCAAACAGGUAUACUACCAUGUGCUGGGGCUGGGCGAGCCUCUGGCCCUGAAGUCUCCCCGGGCUCUCAGACUCUUCUCCCACCUGCGCCACCCAGUGUGUGUGGAGCUGCUGACAGUGCUGUGGGUGGUGCCUACCCUGGGCACGGACCGUCUCCUCCUUGCUUUCCUCCUUACCCUCUACCUGGGCCUGGCUCACGGGCUUGAUCAGCAAGACCUCCGCUACCUCCGGGCCCAGCUACAAAGAAAACUCCACCUGCUCUCUCGGCCCCAGGAUGGGGAGGCAGAGUGAGGAGCUCACUCUGGUUACAAGCCCUGUUCUUCCUCUCCCCCUGAAUUCUAAAUCCUUAACAUCCAAGCCCUGGCUGCUUCAUGCCAGAGGCCCAAAUCCAUGGACUGAAGGAGCUGCCCCUUCUACUACUUGAGACUUUAUUCUCUGGGUCCAGCUCCAUACCCUAAAUUCUGAGUUUCAGCCACUGAACUCCAAGGUCCACUUCUCACCAGCAAGGAAGAGUGGGGUAUGGAAGUCAUCUGUCCCUUCACUGUUUAGAGCAUGACACUCUCCCCCUCAACAGCCUCCUGAGAAGGAAAGGAUCUGCCCUGACCACUCCCCUGGCACUGUUACUUGCCUCUGCGCCUCAGGGGUCCCCUUCUGCACCGCUGGCUUCCACUCCAAGAAGGUGGACCAGGGUCUGCAAGUUCAACGGUCAUAGCUGUCCCUCCAGGCCCCAACCUUGCCUCACCACUCCCGGCCCUAGUCUCUGCACCUCCUUAGGCCCUGCCUCUGGGCUCAGACCCCAACCUAGUCAAGGGGAUUCUCCUGCUCUUAACUCGAUGACUUGGGGCUCCCUGCUCUCCCGAGGAAGAUGCUCUGCAGGAAAAUAAAAGUCAGCCUUUUUCUACAUA
RNAcentral lists this small RNA (1453 nucleotides) under Pan troglodytes (chimpanzee). RNAcentral's name for it is "processed transcript". Lineage: Eukaryota; Metazoa; Chordata; Mammalia; Primates; Hominidae. The record is from RNAcentral.